AACGCACAUUGCGCCCUGUGGUAUUCCGCAGGGCAUGCCUGUUCGAGCGUCAUUACAACCACUCAAGCCUGGCUUGGUAUUGGGGUCUGCGGUUCCGCAGCCCCUAAAAUCAGUGGCGGUGCCGGUGUGGCUCUACGCGUAGUAAUUCUUCUCGCGAUGGAGUUCCCCUGGAUACCUGCCAGAACCCCCCAAUUUUUACAGGUUGACCUCGGAUCAGGUAGGGAUACCCGCUGAACUUAA
This 240-nucleotide unclassified non-coding RNA is filed under the name uncultured fungus. RNAcentral describes it as "sequence contains ITS2". The stretch from base 1 to 52 matches the Rfam family "5.8S ribosomal RNA", at positions 103 to 154 of the family's 154-position model. Lineage: Eukaryota; Fungi. The record is from RNAcentral.